CAAACAUCAGUUCUCGUGCGAUCAUCGAAGUUAAGCAACGUCGAGCGUGGCCAGUAUCUACAUGGGUGACCGCUUGGGAAUACCAGAUUCUG
Acanthosepion pharaonis is the source of this 92-nucleotide non-coding RNA. Lineage: Eukaryota; Metazoa; Mollusca; Cephalopoda; Sepiida; Sepiidae. The record is from the annotation of a GenBank genome assembly.